GAUGAAGAACGUAGCGAAAUGCGAUACGUAAUGUGAAUUGCAAAUUCAGUGAAUCAUCGAGUCUUUGAACGCACAUUGCGCCCCCUGGUAUUCCGUGGGGCAUGCCUGUCCGAGCGUCAUUGCUGCCCUCAAGCACGGCUUGUGUGUUGGGCCCCGUCCUCCGAUUCCGGGGGACGGGCCCGAAAGGCAGCGGCGGCACCGCGUCCGGUCCUCGAGCGUAUGGGGCUUUGUCACCCGCUCUGUAGGCCCGGCCGGCGCUUGCCGAUCAACCCAAAUUUUUAUCCAGGUUGACCUCGGAUCAGGUAGGGAUACCCGCUGAACUUAAGCAUAUCAAUAAGCGGAGGA
This 345-nucleotide unclassified non-coding RNA is filed under the name soil metagenome. RNAcentral's name for it is "partial contains 5.8S ribosomal RNA, internal transcribed spacer 2, and large subunit ribosomal RNA". The stretch from base 1 to 119 matches the Rfam family "5.8S ribosomal RNA", at positions 35 to 154 of the family's 154-position model. The record is from RNAcentral.